RNAcentral lists this unclassified non-coding RNA (304 nucleotides) under plant metagenome. RNAcentral's name for it is "partial contains 5.8S ribosomal RNA, internal transcribed spacer 2, and large subunit ribosomal RNA". The stretch from base 1 to 105 matches the Rfam family "5.8S ribosomal RNA", at positions 50 to 154 of the family's 154-position model. The record is from RNAcentral.
GAAAUGCGAUAAGUAAUGUGAAUUGCAGAAUUCAGUGAAUCAUCGAAUCUUUGAACGCACAUUGCGCCCCUUGGUAUUCCAUGGGGCAUGCCUGUUCGAGCGUCAUUUGUACCUUCAAGCUUUGCUUGGUGUUGGGUGUUUGUCUCGCCUCUGCGUGUAGACUCGCCUCAAAACAAUUGGCAGCCGGCGUAUUGAUUUCGGAGCGCAGUACAUCUCGCGCUUUGCACUCAUAACGACGACGUCCAAAAGUACAUUUUUACACUCUUGACCUCGGAUCAGGUAGGGAUACCCGCUGAACUUAAGC